ACCUGGUUAGAGGAAGAUGAAUUGCUGGGGAUGGCCAAGGUUUCGGGAGCUGGGAUAGAGUUGCCUCUGGUGAAGGAGGUUUAGAUCAUGAAUGAGCACUGCCAAGCUAUCCUGAAGUGCAAAGGCAGCACUGGUUCCUAGGAAGACAGCAAAAAGACAGAGUUUCACAUUACAAGAGCUCCCACAGGGGGUGAGAAAAAUAAAGACAACAUCAAGAGUCUUUAUUUCAAGCUUGGACUGGUGGCUGGCUGUGAUGUCCUGGCUCUUAUGGAUAUGUAUGUGA
RNAcentral lists this long non-coding RNA (283 nucleotides) under Anas platyrhynchos platyrhynchos (common mallard). RNAcentral's name for it is "lncRNA (ENSAPLG00000020386.1)". The record is from RNAcentral. Lineage: Eukaryota; Metazoa; Chordata; Aves; Anseriformes; Anatidae.